UACGGAGGGGGCUAGCGUUGUUCGGAAUUACUGGGCGUAAAGCGUUUGUAGGCGGUUAUACAAGUCAGUGGUGAAAUCCCAGAGCUCAACUCUGGAAUUGCCAUUGAAACUGUAUAGCUAGAGAAUGUUAGAGGAAAGUGGAAUUCCUAGUGUAGGAGUGAAAUCCGUAGAGAUUAGGAGGAAUAUCGAUGGCGAAGGCAGCUUUCUGGGACAUUUCUGACGCUGAGAAACGAAAGCGUGGGUAGCAAACAGG
Molecule: ribosomal RNA, 253 nt
Filed under: uncultured bacterium
Lineage: Bacteria
Description: partial 16S ribosomal RNA
Rfam family: Bacterial small subunit ribosomal RNA
Source: RNAcentral